AUGCUACUCCCUCCGUUCGGAAUUACUUGUUGUAGAAAUGGAUGUAUCUAGAUGUAUAGUUCUGGAUACAUCCAUUUUCGAGACAAGUAAUUCCGAAAGAAGGGAGUACAUC
This is a non-coding RNA of Triticum aestivum (bread wheat), 112 nucleotides long. The record is from Rfam. Lineage: Eukaryota; Viridiplantae; Streptophyta; Magnoliopsida; Poales; Poaceae.